CAGCAGCCGCGGUAAUACCGGCGGCCCGAGUGGCGGUCACUAUUAUUGGGCUUAAAGCGUCCGUAGCCGGGUUGGGAAGUCCUCCGGGAAAUCUGGCCGCUUAACGGUCAGAAUGCCGGAGGAUACUCCCAGCCUAGGGGGCGGGAGAGGCCGAGGGGAUUCCCGGGGUAGGGGGGAAAUCCUAUAAUCCCGGGAGGACCACCUGUGGCGAAGGCGCUCGGCUGGAACGCGUCCGACGGUGAGGGACGAAGGCCAGGGGAGCAAACCGGAUUAGAUACCCGGGUAGUCCUGGCUGUAAACGAUGCGGACUUUGUGUCGGACAAGCUAUGAGCUUGUCCGGUGCCGGAGGGAAACCGUUAAGUCCGCCGCCUGGGGAGUACGGCCGCAAGGCUGAAACUUAAAGGAAUUGGCGGG
Molecule: ribosomal RNA, 414 nt
Filed under: uncultured microorganism
Description: bacterial SSU rRNA
Rfam family: Archaeal small subunit ribosomal RNA
Source: RNAcentral